GUCCGCGGGAGCUAGGCUGUGGGGAGCUGUGCAGGCUGCGGGGUCUACCUUCCAGCUAGUCCAGCGCCUGGCGGCUCAACCCGCAGCCCUCAGCUCUCAGCCAGGAUGCUCCUCAGCUUCCGCAGGAACCGCCGGAGCCAGUUCAACCACAUCAUCCAUGGCUUCCUCCCCGCAGCCAGCAUCGCUCCGAAGCCAGCGGUGCCACGCACACCCCCUCCUCGGAGCCCCAACCCUUCUCCAGAGAGGCCCAGGUCUGCUCUGGCUGCAGCCAUCCUGGCAACCACGUUGACUGGGCAGACAGUUGCCAUUCCCCAGCCUCGCCAGAGAUCUCGGUCUGAGAGUGAUGCCUCCGACAUUGAAAAGGACAGCUUCAUCAAGCCUUACGCCACCACUUCCGAGCUGAGGCUGCGGCAAAGCUGGCAGAAUGAGCCGAGAAGGACGUCAUUACCAUCCUUUGAGAUGUUAGGCUACGGGGAGGAUGAAGAUGCUGAAACACAGGUGUCAACCAGCUGCAGGGAGUCAGAGUCCACCUGGAAGGAUGUGGGAGAUGGCAGAGAUGCUACAUACACUGUGCCUCACAGGGACCAGGUACUGCCAUCCCAAAAGCUGGUGAGAAAGGAUGAUGCUCCUCAACCAGACUGGCUUUCAGACUCCUCCUCCUCCUCCUCCUCCUCAACACCACAGCACACUCAGCAGAAAGAUGUUAAACACUCUGUUCUGAAUCUAGAGGGUGAGAAAGUCCGGUUGCAUGAAAAGCCUCCUCCCUCCCCAGAUGUAGCUGGUAGAAUACAUCAAAGAUAUACAGAAAUAACCAAAGAAAAGUUUGCGGAGUUAAAAGAAGAAACUGUGCAUCUGUACUCUGCAAACCAAGCCCUCAGCUGUGAACUGAGCGCUCUGAGACAGGCAAUGAAGGACUUACAGCUGAAGCUCAAGUUGGUGGAAAAAGACAACAGGAAGCUGAAGGAGACGGAAAAGGCUUCCUGUCAGGAAGGAGUCACACCUGAAUUGCUUUGCCUAAGGAAGCAAAGCCAAGACCUGGUGGAUGAAAACGAGGGGCUGAAGAUGAUUGUCCAUCGAUUGAACGUAGAACUCAGUCGCUACCAAACAAAAUUCAGGCCUUUGUCUGAGGAAGAGAGUUCCCAUAUCCAAGGCCUCCCAUCCAAGGGCCCCACACCACCCUGGUUGGUGGAUAUAAAGUAUCUCUCACCACUGUUGCUGGCUUAUGAAGACAGAAUGAAAGAGAAGGACAAACUCAGCACCGCCCUGGAGGAGGAAAUGAAAACCUUUAGGCUUCGAGUUCAGGAAGUCGUGAAGGAAAACGAAGCCUUGCACCAAGAGUUAACUAAGAGAAGCCCCGUCACCGUAGAGGAAUGGAGGCAGCUUCAGACUCAAGCAGAGCUGGUUCUAGAUGAGAACAAGCUGCUGAUAGAGCAGUUGGAGAUUCAGCAAGCAAAAGCCAGGGACACCCACCAGGCGCACCUCCAGGACGUUUCUAAGCUGACUAAACAACUUGUGCUCCUGGAAGCAAAGACUCAGGGCCAGGAAAAGCAGCUCGUGGAAAGCACGGAGCAGCUGGAGAGCUUGCAGGCCAAAUGCACAGAGCUCAAGGCACAGCUGGAUAGCAAGAUCGCAGUGGACGUCCAUACAUCAAUUGUCAAUGAACUAAAAAGCCAGUUGCAAAAGGAAGAAGAGAAAGACAGUGCUGAGAUGGAGGAGCUGAUGGCAAAGCUGACGGCCCUACAGGUGCAGAAGAAGAGCCUGCUUCUGGAGAAGAGCAGCUGGGCCACCAGGAACAGAGCGCUAGAGGCCGAGCUGGAGCGCACGCGCAAGGCCAACAGGCGAUACCAAAAGAGAAUUGAUGUCCUCAGAAAGCAAGUAGAAAAGGCCAUGGGGAAGGAGAUGUCUGCUCACCAGUACCUGGCAAACCUGGUGGGCUUGGCAGAGACUGUCACCAAGGAACGAGACAGUCUUAAGUAUUUGAUGCUGGAGAAGCGCACAGCCAGCAAGAACCUGGCACGGUUCUAGACACUUCCACACUGAUUCAAAAAGAUGUCCGCAGCAGAUUGUGUGGUCGGAGAAGACAGCUGCUCUCUGUGUCAAGCCAUGUGCGUUCAGAAAGGUCUGGUAGAUUCCCCCAAGCUCUGACAGUGAGUUGCCUCCAAGGGGCGGACUUCCAGGCUCAGUGUUUAGAGAGCGAGAAGCAUGGGGUCCUCAACAAAAUCCUGAAAGGCAACAUUCGCCUGGGCAAGCUGGAGGAGAGGGUAAAGGGGUACAAGAAGCAGGCAGCACUGAAGCUGGGGGAUAUCCAUCACCGCCUGAAGGAACAGCAGGAGGACUUUGCCGGCAAAGCAGCUCAGUACCAGAAGGAGGUGAAGCACCUACAUCGGAUGCUGCAGGAAAAGCAGGAGGUCCUGGAUGAGGCGCUGCAGCAGAAAAGAAAUAUGGAAGGUGAGCUUGAAAUGGUCCUGGAGUCCACUGCCAAGGAGAACAGGAGGAUGCGGAGCCUUCUCCAGGCCACCCUGGAGAGAAGAAGCACACAGCACGUCACAGCUCCUCCGGACACUUGCUUGAGACGCUCCUCUCAGGGAGACCUACUGAUUGGCCAUGAUUUCAGCUAUGGUGAUGUGCAGCUUCUGGCUACCACCAACCGCCAGAGUCUGGGGGAAUCUAUGGCGUAGAUCUCCUGUCUGAGGUGUCUACUUCCUCCUCUCCUCAGGAGGGCCAGUGUGACAAGAAGGCCCGUGGAAGCCACUGAGUGUCAUAGGCAAGGGAGAAAUAAACCAGCCCCGGCAUCACACACUUUUGCAUGUUUAUUUCAGUUUCUUUCUUUCUCUCUCUCUCUCUCUCUCUCUCUCUCUCUCUCCCCCCCCCCCUUAUGUGUUGAACCUAAGGGUCUGCACAUGUGGAACACAGAGGUUACUGCACCGCACCACAGCUCUCCUUUUCUGAGGCAGGGUCUCGCUGAGCAGGCCAGGCUGGCCUUGAGUGUUUGAUCUUCAUGCCUUUCCCUCCUGAGUGACCUACCACACGCCUCUCCAUAUUUUCCUUUAAUGACUUGCUACAUGUUUAGUGAGAUGCAGCCUCUGGUCACAUUGCCCUGAGGUGGCUCUGUGACACCCAUCAUCUCAGCACUCCUAGCUAGGCAGCUGAGAAAGGCCUGGAAGAAAUGGAGAUGCUGUGUGGUACCUAUCAACCGAGCAGUAAGUAAGUGACAGGCAUGAGCAGAAAGACUCAGCGGGGGUUUAAGCUAUGUGACAUCUCCCUAGGAGGUGAUCUAGCAGAUAACUUUGAUGUCUUGUCAAAGGGCUUUACACUCACUGUCCCAAAAUCUGAAGACAGUAAGGCAGUGUCCUGCAGGGCAGGGGCUUCUCCACUAUUGUCCUGACCCAGAGAAUGUCUUUGUCCACUCUGUAAGAUCACUCUUCUACCCUGUGCUGCUGCUUCAUAAGACAUUGAAGUGGGCUAUCCUCAGGGCCACCUUGUGACCAAGGAAGGGGUCCAGGUGGUACAGUUCCUGUGUGCUGUCCCACUUCAUGCUAGAUCUUACAGGAAACAGGCCGUGGGCUGAGCCCCCAGCACACAGGUGGGCAAACAAAGCAGAGAAUGGGAGGCUGUAGAGGGGCAGACAACCUGCAGGACUGGAGAGACCAUAGGCACUUCAUCGAGGGAGGGACAGGGGCUGCUGCAGAAGAAGCAGACACAGGCACCCAGGGUCAGCACCAGGGUCAACGUGUGCUUUGUGGAGGUGAGCUGGGACUCUGGCAAGGGUCUUGUCCAUUUCAUCCUAGUGACCUCCAGGAAAGCAUGCUUGUGUUUCUGGGUCCUGAUGCACCACUGCAAGACACAGCAGGUGACCUCGGUUUUCAUGUUGACCCACGCAGAAGAGUGUGGGGAUCAGAAGUGACAUCUUACCUAUGCAAUUAAAGAAGUGACAAGCCUG
Molecule: RNA transcript, 3940 nt
Organism: Mus musculus (house mouse)
Lineage: Eukaryota; Metazoa; Chordata; Mammalia; Rodentia; Muridae
Gene: Cep89
Gene name: centrosomal protein 89
Exons: 20
Source: RefSeq, marked validated